CAGACAGCCCACGCCUGAGGCUGGGGUUGUCCACAGGUGAGGUGUCCAGCAUGCAGCGGAGCAAAGCGCAAAGACCGGCCACCCCGGAAGUGUCCCAUGUGCUCAGGCUCUGGCAGGCGCAGGAGGAACAGCCUGUUUGAGUUCGUGUCUGAGCCCCACCUCGACUGCCCCAG
Molecule: long non-coding RNA, 173 nt
Filed under: Fukomys damarensis (Damara mole-rat)
Lineage: Eukaryota; Metazoa; Chordata; Mammalia; Rodentia; Bathyergidae
Description: lncRNA (ENSFDAG00000029812.1)
Source: RNAcentral